This 389-nucleotide long non-coding RNA is filed under the name Mytilus galloprovincialis (Mediterranean mussel). Lineage: Eukaryota; Metazoa; Mollusca; Bivalvia; Mytilida; Mytilidae. The record is from RNAcentral.
GUCCUAAUACGAGAAUUUAUCGGGUCAAUAAAAUUCAUAUCGGGUGAGGCGAAGCCAAACCCGAUAUGAAUUUUAUUGACCCGAUAAAUUCCGUAUUAGGACAAUUGAACACUGUGUAACGAAUUUAUCCUGAUUUUGUUAUAUAACAUAUUAUUAUUUUUAAAUUCAAUAUAAGGACAAUAUCAACCAAAUAUAUUUUAGAUAUUUAAUCUAAAACUGUGAAAAAUUAAAAUAUUAGGACUAUGAAGCAACUAAUUUUUAUUUAUUAGGUCAAUUGUAUAAGGGAGAUAAUCCCAAUUGACGUAAUAAAUAAGGGAGAUAAUUUCUAUUGACGUAAUAAAAAAUUGUACUGAAAUUUAUUAGGACAAUAUCAGCCAAUCAAAUUGCGA